This is a transfer RNA of Camelus ferus (Wild Bactrian camel), 72 nucleotides long. It matches the Rfam family "tRNA". From Rfam's summary of the family: Transfer RNA (tRNA) molecules are approximately 80 nucleotides in length. Their secondary structure includes four short double-helical elements and three loops (D, anti-codon, and T loops). The record is from Rfam. Lineage: Eukaryota; Metazoa; Chordata; Mammalia; Artiodactyla; Camelidae.
GAGGGUAUAGCUCAGUGGUAGAGUGCAUGCCUAGUAUGCAUAAGGUCUUGGGGUCGAUCCCCAGUGCCUCCA